AUGCCUCUGCGAGGGGCUCUGAGAUGAGACUUGGGCAUCCAGGUGUGAAAAGCUAGCCCAGAAAGUCUCUUUAAGAAACCUGAGUCAAGGGGAAGGCAGUGGCAGAGGAAAGGACAAGAGUAGUCUAAAGAAAACAGAGAAAGGCUGAGGAGUGAGGCAAACUGAUUUAAAAACAAGCUCAAAAACUAAGUCAAAAAGAAAAUUGACUU
Oxyura jamaicensis (ruddy duck) is the source of this 209-nucleotide long non-coding RNA. RefSeq lists it as uncharacterized. The transcript is spliced from 2 exons. Lineage: Eukaryota; Metazoa; Chordata; Aves; Anseriformes; Anatidae. The record is from RefSeq and is a predicted model, not a curated record.